Molecule: ribosomal RNA, 199 nt
Filed under: uncultured bacterium
Lineage: Bacteria
Description: partial 16S ribosomal RNA
Rfam family: Bacterial small subunit ribosomal RNA
Source: RNAcentral
GCAGGCUGUAACUCGCCUGCAUGAAGUCGGAAUUGCUAGUAAUCGCGGAUCAGCAUGCCGCGGUGAAUACGUUCUCGGGCCUUGUACACACCGCCCGUCACACCAUGGGAGUCGGUAACACCCGAAGUCUGUAGCCUGACGCAAGAGGGCGCAGCCGAAGGUGGGAUUGAUGACUGGGGUGAAGUCGUAACAAGGUAUC